GACGAACGCUGGCGGCGUGCUUAACACAUGCAAGUCGAACGGAAAGGCCCUGCUUUUGUGGGGUGCUCGAGUGGCGAACGGGUGAGUAACACGUGAGUAACCUGCCCUUGACUUUGGGAUAACUUCAGGAAACUGGGGCUAAUACCGGAUAGGAGCUCCUGCUUCAUGGUGGGGGUUGGAAAGUUUCGGCGGUUGGGGAUGGACUCGCGGCUUAUCAGCUUGUUGGUGGGGUAGUGGCUUACCAAGGCUUUGACGGGUAGCCGGCCUGAGAGGGUGACCGGCCACAUUGGGACUGAGAGACGGCCCAGACUCCUACGGGAGGCAGCAGUGGGGAAUAUUGCACAAUGGGCGGAGGCCUGAUGCAGCAACGCCGCGUGCGGGAUGACGGCCUUCGGGUUGUAAACCGCUUUCGCCUGUGACGAAGCGUGAGUGACGGUAAUGGGUAAAGAAGCACCGGCUAACUACGUG
RNAcentral lists this ribosomal RNA (468 nucleotides) under uncultured bacterium. RNAcentral describes it as "partial 16S ribosomal RNA". It matches the Rfam family "Bacterial small subunit ribosomal RNA", at positions 28 to 507 of the family's 1533-position model. The record is from RNAcentral.